RNAcentral lists this ribosomal RNA (397 nucleotides) under uncultured bacterium. RNAcentral's name for it is "partial 16S ribosomal RNA". It matches the Rfam family "Bacterial small subunit ribosomal RNA", at positions 523 to 918 of the family's 1533-position model. The record is from RNAcentral.
AUACGUAGGGGGCGAGCGUUGUCCGGAAUGAUUGGGCGUAAAGGGCGCGUAGGCGGCCUGUUAAGUCUGGAGUGAAAGUCCUGUUUUCAAGAUGGGAAUUGCUUUGGAUACUGGUGGGCUUGAGUGCAGGAGAGGUUAUCGGAAUUCCCGGUGUAGCGGUGAAAUGCGUAGAGAUCGGGAGGAACACCAGUGGCGAAGGCGGGUAACUGGAGUGCAACUGACGCUGAGGCGCGAAAGUGUGGGGAGCAAACAGGAUUAGAUACCCUGGUAGUCCACACUGUAAACGAUGAAUGCUAGGUGUAAGAGGUAUCGACCCCUUUUGUGCCGGAGUUAACACAAUAAGCAUUCCGCCUGGGGAGUACGGCCGCAAGGUUGAAACUCAAAGGAAUUGGCGGGG